RNAcentral lists this ribosomal RNA (587 nucleotides) under uncultured bacterium. RNAcentral's name for it is "bacterial SSU rRNA". It matches the Rfam family "Bacterial small subunit ribosomal RNA", at positions 74 to 647 of the family's 1533-position model. The record is from RNAcentral.
UGGUGCUUGCACCGAGCGGAAGAGUUGCGAACGGGUGAGUAACGCGUAGGUAACCUGCCUCUUAGCGGGGGAUAACUAUUGGAAACGAUAGCUAAUACCGCAUAAAAGUCGGCAUUGCAUGAUGUUGACUUGAAAGGUGCAACUGCAUCACUAAGAGAUGGACCUGCGUUGUAUUAGCUAGUUGGUGAGGUAACGGCUCACCAAGGCGACGAUACAUAGCCGACCUGAGAGGGUGAUCGGCCACACUGGGACUGAGACACGGCCCAGACUCCUACGGGAGGCAGCAGUAGGGAAUCUUCGGCAAUGGACGGAAGUCUGACCGAGCAACGCCGCGUGAGUGAAGAAGGUUUUCGGAUCGUAAAGCUCUGUUGUAAGAGAAGAACGAGUGUGAGAGUGGAAAGUUCACACUGUGACGGUAACUUACCAGAAAGGGACGGCUAACUACGUGCCAGCAGCCGCGGUAAUACGUAGGUCCCGAGCGUUAUCCGGAUUUAUUGGGCGUAAAGCGAGCGCAGGCGGUUAGAUAAGUCUGAAGUUAAAGGCUGUGGCUUAACCAUAGUACGCUUUGGAAACUGUUUAACUUGAGU